Molecule: ribosomal RNA, 481 nt
Filed under: uncultured Alphaproteobacteria bacterium
Lineage: Bacteria; Pseudomonadati; Pseudomonadota; Alphaproteobacteria
Description: bacterial SSU rRNA
Rfam family: Bacterial small subunit ribosomal RNA
Source: RNAcentral
CAGCGAUGCCGCGUGAGUGAAGAAGGCCUUUGGGUUGUAAAGCUCUUUCGUCGGGGAAGAAAAUGACUGUACCCGAAUAAGAAGGUCCGGCUAACUUCGUGCCAGCAGCCGCGGUAAUACGAAGGGACCUAGCGUAGUUCGGAAUUACUGGGCUUAAAGAGUUCGUAGGUGGUUAAAAAAGUUGGUGGUGAAAUCCCAAAGCUUAACUCUGGAACUGCCAUCAAAACUUUUUAGCUAGAGUAUGAUAGAGGAAAGCAGAAUUUCUAGUGUAGAGGUGAAAUUCGUAGAUAUUAGAAAGAAUACCAAUUGCGAAGGCAGCUUUCUGGAUCAUUACUGACGCUGAGGAACGAAAGCAUGGGUAGCGAAGAGGAUUAGAUACCCUCGUAGUCCAUGCCGUAAACGAUGUGUGUUAGACGUUGGAAAUUUAUUUUCAGUGUCGCAGCGAAAGCAAUAAACACACCGCCUGGGGAGUACGACCGCA